GAUGAAGAACGUAGCGAAAUGCGAUAAGUAAUGCGAAUUGCAGAAUUCAGUGAAUCAUCGAAUCUUUGAACGCACAUUGCGCCCGCCAGUAUUCUGGCGGGCAUGCCUGUCUGAGCGUCGUUUCGACCCUCGCGCCCGGCUUCUGUCGGGGGCGGUGUUGGGGAUCGGCCACACCCUUCAGUGGGAAGCCGGCCCCUAAAUUCAGUGGCGACCACGCUGUAGCCUCCCCUGCGUAGUACUAAAACCACCUCGCAGGCGGAGAGCGGUGCGGCCCGCCGUAAAACCCCCCAACUUUUACAAGGUCGACCUCAGAUCAGGUAGGAAUACCCGCUGAACUUAAGCAUAUCAAUAAGCGGAGGA
This 360-nucleotide unclassified non-coding RNA is filed under the name soil metagenome. RNAcentral describes it as "partial contains 5.8S ribosomal RNA, internal transcribed spacer 2, and large subunit ribosomal RNA". The stretch from base 1 to 120 matches the Rfam family "5.8S ribosomal RNA", at positions 35 to 154 of the family's 154-position model. The record is from RNAcentral.